ACGACUUUUGAGUCCGGUUAUGUUGAUGGUACUGGCAACUCGGCGUCAGCCCUGGUUCUUCCCGAAGCUCAGAAAACUCGGAAACAUGACAGGGUGUGGACGCUAAAUCGUGCACUGACUGCAACAAAAUUUUAAGCCAUCAUGGAUCCUGAACCAGGUUGAUCAGGAAUGACAACAACCAGUUUUUAUAAGGAUGCAAAAGGAUAUAGGCAACUAGAUAUGCAUCAAUAUUUGUGCGUACGUGAUACAGAAGAUAUUGUUGAAUAUGCUGUGGAUGAGGUGGAUGAUACUUGCUCACCAUAUGAGUCUAAGAAAGGUACAUAAGUUAUUUACGAAAUAAUGUUCAAUAAAACUAGCCACAAUAUUCAUCUAAAAAAA
Molecule: non-coding RNA, 378 nt
Organism: Penaeus vannamei (Pacific white shrimp)
Lineage: Eukaryota; Metazoa; Arthropoda; Malacostraca; Decapoda; Penaeidae
Source: RefSeq, a predicted model, not a curated record